Molecule: signal recognition particle RNA, 95 nt
Filed under: SAR324 cluster bacterium
Lineage: Bacteria; Deltaproteobacteria
Description: signal recognition particle sRNA small type
Rfam family: Bacterial small signal recognition particle RNA
About the family: The signal recognition particle (SRP) is a universally conserved ribonucleoprotein involved in the co-translational targeting of proteins to membranes. Archaeal SRP consists of a 7S RNA and homologues of the eukaryotic SRP19 and SRP54 proteins.
Source: RNAcentral
GGCCGGGUUUUGCGCAAUUGAAAAUUUCGAACCGUGUCAGGUCCUAGCGGAAGCAGCACUAAGGAAUCGUAGAUGUGCCGUGAAACCUGGUCUCC